UCCAAAACCAAACCACUACAAUUUGUUGGAA
This 31-nucleotide non-coding RNA is filed under the name Mus musculus (house mouse). The record is from RNAcentral. Lineage: Eukaryota; Metazoa; Chordata; Mammalia; Rodentia; Muridae.